GGGCUACACACGUGCUACAAUGGUGAUGCCAAAAAGAUGCAAUUUGGUCACAAGGAGCUAAUCUCUAACCAUCACCUUAGUUCAGAUUGUUCUCUGCAACUCGAGAACAUGAAGUCGGAAUCGCUAGUAAUCGUAGAUCAGCAUGCUACGGUGAAUUUGUAUCUAAGCCUUGUACACACCGCCCGUCACACUACGAAAGUGAACUGCACUCAAAAAAAUCACCCUUCUAAACAAUUAGAUCAAUCUUACACACUUCAACAUUGAAUCCUCGUGUUUUGAAGACAUUUUUACAGUGUUGUCUAUGAUUAUAGUGAAGUCGUAACAAGGUAGCUGUAGGGGAACCUGUAGCUGGAU
This 354-nucleotide ribosomal RNA is filed under the name Ostreococcus mediterraneus. RNAcentral describes it as "partial Bacterial small subunit ribosomal RNA". It matches the Rfam family "Bacterial small subunit ribosomal RNA", at positions 1211 to 1523 of the family's 1533-position model. Lineage: Eukaryota; Viridiplantae; Chlorophyta; Mamiellophyceae; Mamiellales; Bathycoccaceae. The record is from RNAcentral.